Molecule: ribosomal RNA, 2936 nt
Filed under: Priestia megaterium
Lineage: Bacteria; Bacillati; Bacillota; Bacilli; Caryophanales; Bacillaceae
Description: 23S ribosomal RNA
Rfam family: Bacterial large subunit ribosomal RNA
Source: RNAcentral
GGUUAAGUUAGAAAGGGCGCACGGUGAAUGCCUUGGCACUAGGAGCCGAUGAAGGACGGGACUAACACCGAUAUGCUUCGGGGAGCUGUAAGUGAGCUUUGAUCCGGAGAUUUCCGAAUGGGGAAACCCACUGUUCGUAAUGGAACAGUAUCUUUAUCUGAAUACAUAGGAUAUUGAAGGCAGACCCGGGGAACUGAAACAUCUAAGUACCCGGAGGAAGAGAAAGCAAAUGCGAUUUCCUGAGUAGCGGCGAGCGAAACGGAAUUAGCCCAAACCAAGAGGCUUGCCUCUUGGGGUUGUAGGACACUCUAUACGGAGUUACAAAGGAACGAAGUAAAUGAAGCGACCUGGAAAGGUCCGUCGAAGAAGGUAACAACCCUGUAGUUGAAACUUCGUUCCCUCUUGAGUGGAUCCUGAGUACGGCGGAACACGUGAAAUUCCGUCGGAAGCUGGGAGGACCAUCUCCCAAGGCUAAAUACUACCUAGUGACCGAUAGUGAACCAGUACCGUGAGGGAAAGGUGAAAAGCACCCCGGAAGGGGAGUGAAAGAGAUCCUGAAACCGUGUGCCUACAAGUAGUCAGAGCCCGUUAACGGGUGAUGGCGUGCCUUUUGUAGAAUGAACCGGCGAGUUACGAUCCCAUGCAAGGUUAAGCUGAUAAGGCGGAGCCGUAGCGAAAGCGAGUCUGAAUAGGGCGUUUAGUAUGUGGUUGUAGACCCGAAACCAGGUGAUCUACCCAUGUCCAGGGUGAAGUUCAGGUAACACUGAAUGGAGGCCCGAACCCACGCACGUUGAAAAGUGCGGGGAUGAGGUGUGGGUAGCGGAGAAAUUCCAAUCGAACCUGGAGAUAGCUGGUUCUCUCCGAAAUAGCUUUAGGGCUAGCCUCAUGUUGUGAGAGUCUUGGAGGUAGAGCACUGAUUGGACUAGGGGCCCCCAACGGGUUACCGAAUUCAGUCAAACUCCGAAUGCCAAAGACUUAUCCAUGGGAGUCAGACUGCGAGUGAUAAGAUCCGUAGUCAAAAGGGAAACAGCCCAGACCACCAGCUAAGGUCCCCAAGUAUACGUUAAGUGGAAAAGGAUGUGGAGUUGCUUAGACAACCAGGAUGUUGGCUUAGAAGCAGCCACCAUUUAAAGAGUGCGUAAUAGCUCACUGGUCGAGUGACUCUGCGCCGAAAAUGUACCGGGGCUAAACGUAUCACCGAAGCUGUGGAUUGACAUCUUAGAUGUCAGUGGUAGGAGAGCGUUCUAAGUGCUGUGAAGUCAGACCGUAAGGACUGGUGGAGCGCUUAGAAGUGAGAAUGCCGGUAUGAGUAGCGAAAGACAAGUGAGAAUCUUGUCCACCGAAUGCCUAAGGUUUCCUGAGGAAGGCUCGUCCGCUCAGGGUUAGUCGGGACCUAAGCCGAGGCUGAAAAGCGUAGGCGAUGGCCAACAGGUUGAUAUUCCUGUACCACCUCCCCGCCGUUUGAGUAAUGGGGGGACGCAGUAGGAUAGGGUAAGCGCGCUGCUGGAUAUGCGCGUUCAAGCAGUUAGGCUGAUGAGUAGGCAAAUCCGCUCAUCAUGAAGGCUGAGCUGUGAUGACGAGGGAAUUAUAGUACCGAAGUUCCUGAUUCCACACUGCCAAGAAAAGCCUCUAGCGAGGCGGGAGGUGCCCGUACCGCAAACCGACACAGGUAGGCGAGGAGAGAAUCCUAAGGUGAUCGAGAGAACUCUCGUUAAGGAACUCGGCAAAAUGACCCCGUAACUUCGGGAGAAGGGGUGCUCUGGUAGGGUGUAUAGCCCGAGAGAGCCGCAGUGAAUAGGCCCAGGCGACUGUUUAGCAAAAACACAGGUCUCUGCGAAGCCGCAAGGCGAAGUAUAGGGGCUGACGCCUGCCCGGUGCUGGAAGGUUAAGAGGAGGGGUUAUCCUUUGGGAGAAGCUCUGAAUCGAAGCCCCAGUAAACGGCGGCCGUAACUAUAACGGUCCUAAGGUAGCGAAAUUCCUUGUCGGGUAAGUUCCGACCCGCACGAAAGGCGUAACGAUCUGGGCACUGUCUCAACGAGAGACUCGGUGAAAUUAUAGUACCUGUGAAGAUGCAGGUUACCCGCGACAGGACGGAAAGACCCCGUGGAGCUUUACUGUAGCCUGAUAUUGAAUUUUGGUACAGCUUGUACAGGAUAGGUAGGAGCCUGAGAAGCCGGAGCGCUAGCUUCGGUGGAGGCGUCGGUGGGAUACUACCCUGGCUGUAUUGAAAUUCUAACCCGCGGCCCUGAUCGGGCCGGGAGACAGUGUCAGGUGGGCAGUUUGACUGGGGCGGUCGCCUCCUAAAAUGUAACGGAGGCGCCCAAAGGUUCCCUCAGAAUGGUUGGAAAUCAUUCGUAGAGUGUAAAGGCACAAGGGAGCUUGACUGCGAGACCUACAAGUCGAGCAGGGACGAAAGUCGGGCUUAGUGAUCCGGUGGUUCCGCAUGGAAGGGCCAUCGCUCAACGGAUAAAAGCUACCCCGGGGAUAACAGGCUUAUCUCCCCCAAGAGUCCACAUCGACGGGGAGGUUUGGCACCUCGAUGUCGGCUCAUCGCAUCCUGGGGCUGUAGUCGGUCCCAAGGGUUGGGCUGUUCGCCCAUUAAAGCGGUACGCGAGCUGGGUUCAGAACGUCGUGAGACAGUUCGGUCCCUAUCCGUCGUGGGCGUAGGAAAUUUGAGAGGAGCUGUCCUUAGUACGAGAGGACCGGGAUGGACACACCGCUGGUGUACCAGUUGUCUUGCCAAAGGCAUCGCUGGGUAGCUAUGUGUGGACGGGAUAAGUGCUGAAAGCAUCUAAGCAUGAAGCCCCCCUCAAGAUGAGAUUUCCCAUAGCGCAAGCUAGUAAGAUCCCUGAAAGAUGAUCAGGUUGAUAGGUCAGAGGUGGAAGCGUGGCGACAUGUGUAGCUGACUGAUACUAAUCGAUCGAGGACUUAACCAA